This is a long non-coding RNA of Gossypium raimondii (Peruvian cotton), 1462 nucleotides long. RefSeq lists it as uncharacterized. The record is from RefSeq and is a predicted model, not a curated record. The transcript is spliced from 3 exons. NCBI's taxonomy places the organism in Eukaryota, Viridiplantae, Streptophyta, Magnoliopsida, Malvales, Malvaceae.
UCCCCCACGUUUUUCCCCACUUUUCCAUUGCCUAAUUCAUUUGUUUUGUUUUUCUGCCAGCAAAAUCAAAAGUCAAAAUUUGUUUCUUGUUUUUCUUCAUAACUUUAAUAUUUGUUUAUCAUUUUAUUAUUUUUGUUUCAAGUCUGUUACCAUUUAUUUUCCUUUCCCAAUUCCACGUUUCUUUAAUUUUGUUUUACCUUUCUUGCUGAGUUCUUUCGCACAACUAUAUCCUCUUUCUCUUUUCUUCUUACUAUAAAUUCUUUUUGGAACCUUAAUUCUUGUUCUGUUGACUGCAAAUCGUGGGGAGAAGAACAAGAAGCAAUCGGCAGUCCUCCAGCGACUUAGAUGCUAGUUUGUUGCUGAUUUCUUUUGGGGUAAGUGUUCGAAUGCGUUUUUGGGGGUUCAUUAAGUAUGUUGUGGUUGAGUUUUUGUUAAGUUUUGUAAACUGUUACUAAUUUGGUUGUGAUAGUUAUCAAUUUAGGUGUUAGAUAUCUUAUGGUUGCUUUCGUAUCGAAAUCGUAUCAGGUGUGUAGUAAGAAGCCCGAAAAAUAGCAAACGACGAAAGUCGUAAAUCGGCACUAUCGACGCCACACGGUUGUGUGUGAUAGGCUGUGUGCGAACUGUUGAACCACAUGGUCUGGGUCAAUUGGCCCUGUGGGCCACACGUGUGUGUGGGUCUAAAAUUUUGAAUUUUUCUCUAGGGUCGUAAACGGUUCUUGGAUCAAACGUAGGCUUUUUAUAGGGUUAGUAUGUUAUUAAUUAAGUUAUAACACGGGAAUUCUAGCCAUCUGUUAGUGUAAAAUUAAAUAUUUGUUCGUAUGUUUGAAAUGAAGUGUUACGAGUAAAAUAUGUAAUAUGCAAUGUUUAAUCUGAAGAAAACAUUAUGUAUGUUAUGUACUUGUCAUGAUAAGCAUGUACAUAGUAAAUAAAUCUAAUAUCUGUUAGCUUUGCAUUUGCAUUGGGGAUGAGAAUUGUGUCCUGGAGGAAGUGUGGAGAGUUUAAUUAUUUGCUAUAAUUGGUGGCACAACCACAUCUAUUUCUGUACAUGGCGAUAAUUCGCUUAUUGGUUUGGCAGUUAAGCUGCAAAUAUUUUGAAAGUGUCAUACUGACACUAAGUGGUGUGUAGGGCUGGAUGGGUGUUUCAUACCCCAUAUGGUGUGUUGGGAUAGUUGAAGUUGGUGUGUAGCGGAUGGAGGUUACAAAUUGAGUUUGAAUAGUGUCAUACCGACACUAAGUGGUGUGUAGGGCUGGAUGGAUGUCUCAUACCCCAUAUGAUAACCCUCAGACUUAGGCGAAUUUGUGCGAUGAGAGCUCGGUUAUGAUGUCUUGUUUUUUUUACGUGGUUUGUAAAAUUUGGACUUUUUUUGGCCAUUUUGGGACUGUUUAAAUUUUUAGACUGUUUAAAUUUCUGGACUUUACAUUUUGAUUUUUAACUGUUUUAUCAUUUUUGGUGGGUUUACAA